Molecule: non-coding RNA, 71 nt
Organism: Phrynosoma platyrhinos (Desert horned lizard)
Lineage: Eukaryota; Metazoa; Chordata; Lepidosauria; Squamata; Phrynosomatidae
Source: the annotation of a GenBank genome assembly
GCCAGUGUAGUGUAGUGGUUUGAGUGCUGGACUACGACUCUAGAGUCCAGGGUUAGAAUCGUUGUUUGGCU